GAUGAACGCUCGCUACAGGCUUAACACAUGCAAGUCGAGGGGAAACGGCAUUAAGUGCUUGCACUUUUUGGACGUCGACCGGCGCACGGGUGAGUAACGCGUAUCCAACCUUCCCAUGACUAAGGGAUAACCUGCCGAAAGGCAGACUAAUACCUUAUGGUCUUCACUGACGGCAUCAGAUGUGAAGUAAAGAUUUAUCGGUUAUGGAUGGGGAUGCGUCUGAUUAGCUUGUUGGCGGGGUAACGGCCCACCAAGGCAACGAUCAGUAGGGGUUCUGAGAGGAAGGUCCCCCACAUUGGAACUGAGACACGGUCCAAACUCCUACGGGAGGCAGCAGUGAGGAAUAGUGGUCAAUGGGCGAGAGCCUGAACCAGCCAAGUAGCGUGCAGGAUGACGGCCCUAUGGGUUGUAAACUGCUUUUGUAUGGGGAUAAAGUCAAUCACGUGUGAUUGUUUGCAGGUACCAUACGAAUAAGGACCGGCUAAUUCCGUG
RNAcentral lists this ribosomal RNA (492 nucleotides) under uncultured bacterium. Its description in RNAcentral is "partial 16S ribosomal RNA". It matches the Rfam family "Bacterial small subunit ribosomal RNA", at positions 28 to 507 of the family's 1533-position model. The record is from RNAcentral.